AUGGGAGUGAGAAUGUUGGCAUGAGUAGCGAGAUGUGGGUGAGAAUCCCACAGGCCGUAAACCCAAGGUUUCCAGGGGAAGGUUCGUCCGCCCUGGGUUAGUCGGGACCUAAGCUGAGGCCGAAAGGCGUAGGGGAUGGACAACAGGUUGAUAUUCCUGUACUACCGAUAACCGUUUGAGAGAAGGGAUGACACAGUAGGAUAAGCUAAGCAC
Molecule: ribosomal RNA, 213 nt
Filed under: Clostridioides difficile
Lineage: Bacteria; Bacillati; Bacillota; Clostridia; Peptostreptococcales; Peptostreptococcaceae
Description: partial 23S ribosomal RNA
Rfam family: Bacterial large subunit ribosomal RNA
Source: RNAcentral